CCCCAUAACCGCCCCAUAGAGCCCCACAGUACCCCAUAACCACUCCAUAAAGCCCCAUAACCGCCCCACAGAGCCGCCCCACGGCCGUACCGGUGCCCGCAUGGUGCAGCAGCCUAUAGGCGGAGGUAUCCACCACCAUUUCCUCGUCGGGACCGGGCGGGGGGCCGCGACCGGGGAUGUAAACGCGCCCCUCCCCCUCUCCGCUCCGCCCCGCCCCCCUUCGUGCUGGCUCCGCCCCCUGGCCCCGCCCCCUCCGCCGUUCCCGGGAGCUCCGGAGCCGCGUGGCUCCAGUGCCUCCGCUGCGCGCCGCCAUUUUUUGCCACUUUCCGGCGCUGUGCGACACACUUCCGGUCACGUGCAGCACGCUUCCGUUCUUUUUCAGGCACACUUCCGGUCCUUCACUGGACACGCUUCCGGUUCUCCUCCAGACGCUCUUUUGGUUCUCCUUUAGGGGCACUUCCGGUUCCGCGCUACGCACUUCCGCCCUCCUGCCCCUCCACUUCCGGCCCCGCCGCCAUUUUGUCGCCGCCGUUGCCAUAGCGACGGCUAUGGCGGCCUGCCGCCACCCACCCUCCCUCUGCCCUCAUUAACACCUUAAUUAGCGCGUAAUUAACGCCACGGUGAGCUACAAAAGCUUUAAUUGAGGACGAGACUGCGUCGCACGGGGACACGAGGGGAGGAAAUGGGACAAAAAGGGACAAAAACGGGCAAAAACGGGGAGGGGGGGGGGAAGGGCCGGUUGNNNNNNNNNNNNNNNNNNNNNNNNNNNNGGACAUUUGGGGACAUUUGGGGACACGAAGGACGUUUUGGGGUCACAGUGGCGGUGGCUGCGGUCGCUCACAGUUUUUUAUUUUAUUUCCGGCCCCCAAAAAUGGCCCAAAUUUGGGUCAAAAUGGGGACGGGGUCACAGUGACAAAGUGGGGAGGGGGAGGGGAAGGGAGGGGGGUGGGGCACUGAGGGGACAAUGGGGACAAUGGGGACAGAGGGACAAUGGGGACAUUAUGGCGACAAUGGGGGCAUUGGGGACAUUAUGGGGACAAUGGGGACAGAGGGGCAAUGGGGGAGGGGCACCGUCACCCUAUGGGGACAUCUGAGUGUCAUUGUCCCCGAUGGGGACAUUUCUGUGUCACUGUCACUGUUUGGGGACAUCUCUGUGUCAUCAUUGUCCCCAGUGGGCCACAGGGGCACCUUAAUGUCAUUGUCACCAUUUGGGGACAUCUCUGUGUCACCGUCAUUGUCACUGUGCCACCAUCAUUGUCCCCAAUGGACCUUGGUGAGGUCCCUGUGUCACUGUCACCAUUUGGGGACACCUCUGUGUCCCCAUCAUUGUCCCCAAAGGACCUUGGGGACAUCCCUGUGUCAUUGUCACCAUUUGGGGCCACACCUGUGUGUCACCGUCAUUGUCCCCAAUGGACCUUGGGGACAUCUCUGUGUCACUGUCACCAUUUGGGGACAUCUCUGUGUCGCUGUCAUUGUCACCGUGUCACCAUCAUUGUCCCCAGUGGGGGCAUCUCAGUGUCAUUGUCACCAUUUGGGGACAUCUCUGUGUCACCGUCAUUGUCCCCAGUG
RNAcentral lists this long non-coding RNA (1569 nucleotides) under Phasianus colchicus (ring-necked pheasant). RNAcentral describes it as "lncRNA (ENSPCLG00000016557.1)". The record is from RNAcentral. Lineage: Eukaryota; Metazoa; Chordata; Aves; Galliformes; Phasianidae.